AUUUUGAUGAAAAAUAUAAAACCUCAAAAUAUUACUGUAAGUAUAUAAUAAUGAUAUUACACUGCACUGUUUUCACGACCAGGUCAAGAAAUUGAGUCUUAUCUGCCCACUCGAAUGGGAACCAUGUUGUCUGACCUUAACAAUGCAGAAAACCUUAAACCGAAAGAGCUUGCUGUCAGUGCAAUCGGUGCAAUCGCUAACACAGCCAAGGAGAUGCUGGUGCCUUGCUUUCCUCCAAAUACUGAGAGUCUGAAGGGAUUCCUGAUGGACACAGGAGAGGAGAUGAGGGCUCUGCAGACACAGGCGCUAGACGCACUUUCUGUGUUGGCCCGUACUGUUGGGAAAGAUGUGUUAGAUUUGAACCUCAGUGAUGCAGUGGAUGACAUUUACACAUAUGCAGACAUGGUGUAAAAGGGAGGGAAACUGAAUAGUUAGGAAAGAGUAAUAAAAAAUUGUAACACUUAAUUUGUUGACUGGCUUUUAAAUAUUGAGGCUGAAUUUGAAGCAGACUGCAUUCAGCAUCGCUCUCUCAUUCUAGAUGUAGCUUAUUCUCUGCUGUAUCUGAUGUGAGUCCUGACCGUCUGUCCCCUCAACUCACUCCCAUCACCACAGUGAGGACUUUUCUCUGCACACCAUCAAACAUUACAAGUAUUCUUGUCUACUUCACAGGCUCAUUUAGAGGAAGAUUAACAGUUUGUGUCUCCUGGAGGGUGAAGAUGAUGCUGAUGAUGAAGGUGAAGAGGCCGAUGCUGUUUUGGAUGAAGAGGGAGAGACUGAAGUUGAUGACUGUAGGGAAUGUCUCUGUCUCUCUCUUUCAUCCCGUCUCUUUAGUUUCCUCUCAUUUCCCACAUGAGGAUGUGAGGAGAGCUGCCUUUGGUGCCGUGGGCCAGUUCUGCCCAACUCAGCACAAAGUGUGGAAGGAAAACCCAACGGAGGCCAACCAGCAGGGUACAUUCACACCAUUCAUGUCCGGGUGCUUUACCUCAGUGAAGCUAAAACUAUGUUGCGGAUUACCAGUGUUUAUUAAUUUUAACAUGAGCUAG
RNAcentral lists this long non-coding RNA (1043 nucleotides) under Carassius auratus (goldfish). Its description in RNAcentral is "lncRNA (ENSCARG00000050079.1)". Lineage: Eukaryota; Metazoa; Chordata; Actinopteri; Cypriniformes; Cyprinidae. The record is from RNAcentral.